CUUUGAGAGAGAGUUCAUGAGGGCGUGAACCGCUGAGAAGGAAACGGAUAGAGUUGACGAAACCUGGUGGCAUUCAGCCGGGCGACGAUGCGGUACCCGCGUCUGUGUACCUCGUCUGAGGGCACAGAUGUGUGCUUGUUGGCUGCAUUCGUUUUCCUGCCCGGUGCAUUUGCCAUCGGUAUGCGCCGAGAAGUUCGCUGUGGUGCGCUGAAGCUCGCUGGAGAGGACCGUGCCCUCUGGGUGCGGAAACCGUUCGGCGGUGCCCAGGUGUAUCCGUGGUGAGCCUGCCGUAUGCAGACACUGCCCUGCUGUGUGCGCAACUCCCACCUGUCUGGUUGGUGUGGCUAUUUGAGCGGUCGCAUGCGACUUGCUUAUAGCUCCGAUGCUGGCCGAUAUGGUGUGGUUCGGUUGCUUAGGGUGUGUGCGUCUCGGUGUAAAAGUCGACCACCUAUCCGACCCGUCUUGAAACACGGACCAAGGAGUUUAGCAUAUGCGCGAGUCAUUGGGUGGUAAACCUAAAGGCGCAAUGAAAGUAAAGGUCACCGUUCCUGGGUGGCUGAUAUGGGAUCCGUACGGUUGCCGUCAAACAACAAUCCGUGCGGCGCACCAUAGCCCCAUCCCAGUUGCUUGCAACGGGGUGGAGGUAGAGCGCAUACGCUGAGACCCGAAAGAUGGUGAACUAUGCCUGAGCAGGAUGAAGCCAGAGGAAACUCUGGUGGAGGUCCGAAGCGGUUCUGACGUGCAAAUCGAU
RNAcentral lists this ribosomal RNA (751 nucleotides) under Blatticola blattae. RNAcentral describes it as "eukaryotic LSU rRNA". It matches the Rfam family "Eukaryotic large subunit ribosomal RNA", at positions 374 to 902 of the family's 3401-position model. The record is from RNAcentral. Lineage: Eukaryota; Metazoa; Nematoda; Chromadorea; Rhabditida; Thelastomatidae.